Bombus terrestris (buff-tailed bumblebee) is the source of this 1478-nucleotide long non-coding RNA. RefSeq lists it as uncharacterized. Lineage: Eukaryota; Metazoa; Arthropoda; Insecta; Hymenoptera; Apidae. The transcript has 2 exons. The record is from RefSeq and is a predicted model, not a curated record.
ACUGCACGAGAACUUUGAAUUAUUUGUUUAAUUUUGAGGAACAGAGAAAAGUCACGGAAACCAGAUAACGUUCCUUCUGAUACAUUCGAAUACUCACAAGGUGCGAAAAUAGCUUGUGAAAAUGGAAUACUUGUGACAAGAACAACGAAUAAAUUAUUACAUGUUACGAGUAUAGUACUCGAACCGUGUGAAGUGAACUUUCAACUAUUGGACUUGAACUCGUCACUAGAAAAAAUCUUCACAACUUGACAAUUUUAGCUGUUUGAGCUUGAGAUUCCAGUUGCCGAUAAGUAUUAUCUCAAUCGUAAAAGUAUAGCAAAGACAGAUGGAGGAUAUAAAAUGCGAACUUACCUGCGUAUGGGCCACACGGUGAUGCAUUGUCCUUUCCACUUUUGCCAUCCUUGCUGCCGCUUCCUGAAACAGCCGAAAACCAGUGCUGGUCUAAGAAAAUGGAAAACAUUGUUUUCUUUCGAAUUAUACGGCUGAACGGAAUGGGAAACCACAGAUCACUACGCAAAAGCUAGCGAAAAAUAAAUGCAGUUAAAAAGUGUAACGUGGAAGAGGAGAAACGCGCGUACGAAGGACAUAAGCGAGUACCAGAUCACUCGUAUAGCAACGUUUGCAGAUAAUCUUCAAGUACAGCGCGUGUUCCCCUUGAAAAUUCACCAAAUAAAAUCCAGAGGCUGCCGCAUGCCAGCGGCUAGCUUUGGAUGACAGGACACGAGAUCUUUGCCAACAGCUUUAACUUUGUAAACGACGCGACGAUUGGAAAUAAAAUUGUUGGAAAGUCUGGCCGAUCUGUGUCUUUAGUUUCUACCGAAGGCGCCGUUUCAAUUCAACGCUUCUGUCCUAUUUGCUUCGUUUUGUGGAAUAACGUCACGGAAGUUAUCUUUACCGUGCAACUGUUGGAAAUAUUAUCGAAAAUUUUCUAGAUAUUGUACGAAUUCUAUGUACGUUUUAACUAAAGCAAAUCACCUAAACAUCUGACUUAUAGGCGUAUACGUAUGAAGAAUCUUCUCAAGACAGAGUUCAACCGCUUCAAGGGACACAUAUAACGAAUGGAUUUUUCCUCAAGGUCAUCUCUUCACGAAAUUUCAAGACAUUUUUAUUUUCCACGCAAAGAUAUUCAAGUAUUUGUGUCUGAAAAUUCCUGGUUGAAAUUUUUAUAUUUUAAUCCUAAAUUUGUAACACUUUCGGGUCGUGUGAAAGACAAAGAGAGAGGCAAAGUGACGCUCUUACGUUUCUGUUUUCCCUUCUUGUCUCUGUUCUCUUCCUUUCGUACACUACAUUUCAAUUAAAAUCGAAAUAUCUUUUAAACUCUUCAUUUCAUAAAUACCCAUAAAUACUUUAAUACUUUUGCGCGGAGAAUACAAAAUUACAUUCAUAGUGCGAAUAAUUCUAUAUUCUAUUUAGGAAAUACCGAUGACCUUGAAAUCUCCUUCCUUAAAGAGAAGAACAGGGAAAGAGAAGAAAAGGGG